AACUUUCAACAACGGAUCUCUUGGCUCUCGCAUCGAUGAAGAACGCAGCGAAAUGCGAUAAGUAAUGUGAAUUGCAGAAUUCAGUGAAUCAUCGAAUCUUUGAACGCACCUUGCGUCCCUUGGUAUUCCGAGGGGCAUGCCUGUUUGAGUGUCA
This 154-nucleotide ribosomal RNA is filed under the name Phellinus texanus. RNAcentral's name for it is "5.8S ribosomal RNA". It matches the Rfam family "5.8S ribosomal RNA". Rfam says of the family: 5.8S ribosomal RNA (5.8S rRNA) is a component of the large subunit of the eukaryotic ribosome. It is transcribed by RNA polymerase I as part of the 45S precursor that also contains 18S and 28S rRNA. The record is from RNAcentral. Lineage: Eukaryota; Fungi; Basidiomycota; Agaricomycetes; Hymenochaetales; Hymenochaetaceae.